CUACGUGCCAGCAGCCGCGGUAAUACGUAGGGCGCGAGCGUUGUCCGGAAUUAUUGGGCGUAAAGAGCUUGUAGGCGGUUUGUCGCGUCAGCUGUGAAAGGCCGGGGCUUAACCCCGUGUAUUGCAGUGGGUACGGGCAGACUAGAGUGCAGUAGGGGAGACUGGAAUUCCUGGUGUAGCGGUGGAAUGCGCAGAUAUCAGGAGGAACACCGAUGGCGAAGGCAGGUCUCUGGGCUGUAACUGACGCUGAGAAGCGAAAGCAUGGGGAGCGAACAGGAUUAGAUACCCUGGUAGUCCAUGCCGUAAACGUUGGGCACUAGGUGUGGGGGACAUUCCACGUUUUCCGCGCCGUAGCUAACGCAUUAAGUGCCCCGCCUGGGGAGUACGGCCGCAAGGCUAAAACUCAAAGAAAUUGACGGGGGCCCGCACAAGCGGCGGAGCAUGCGGAUUAAUUCGAUGCAACGCGAAGAACCUUACCAAGGCUUGACAU
RNAcentral lists this ribosomal RNA (490 nucleotides) under uncultured bacterium. RNAcentral's name for it is "bacterial SSU rRNA". It matches the Rfam family "Bacterial small subunit ribosomal RNA", at positions 501 to 987 of the family's 1533-position model. The record is from RNAcentral.